This 156-nucleotide ribosomal RNA is filed under the name Triticum aestivum (bread wheat). RNAcentral describes it as "rRNA 5_8S_rRNA". It matches the Rfam family "5.8S ribosomal RNA". From Rfam's summary of the family: 5.8S ribosomal RNA (5.8S rRNA) is a component of the large subunit of the eukaryotic ribosome. The record is from RNAcentral. Lineage: Eukaryota; Viridiplantae; Streptophyta; Magnoliopsida; Poales; Poaceae.
GACUCUUGGCAAUGGAUAUCUCGGCUCUCGCAUCGAUGAAGAACGUAGCGAAAUGCGAUACCUGGUGUGAAUCGCAGAAUCCCGCAAACCAUCGAGUCUUUGAACGCAAGUUGCGCCCGAGGCCACUCGGCCGAGGGCACGCCUGCCUGUGCGCCA